Molecule: ribosomal RNA, 397 nt
Filed under: uncultured bacterium
Lineage: Bacteria
Description: partial 16S ribosomal RNA
Rfam family: Bacterial small subunit ribosomal RNA
Source: RNAcentral
AUACGAAGGGUGCAAGCGUUACUCGGAAUUACUGGGCGUAAAGCGUGCGUAGGUGGUUGUUUAAGUCUGUCGUGAAAGCCCUGGGCUCAACCUGGGAAUGGCGAUGGAAACUGGGCGACUAGAGUGUGGCAGAGGGUAGUGGAAUUCCUGGUGUAGCAGUGAAAUGCGUAGAGAUCAGGAGGAACAUCCGUGGCGAAGGCGACUGCCUGGGCCAACACUGACACUGAGGCACGAAAGCGUGGGGAGCAAACAGGAUUAGAUACCCUGGUAGUCCACGCCCUAAACGAUGUGAACUGGAUGUUGGGUGCAAUUUGGCACGCAGUAUCGAAGCUAACGCGUUAAGUUCGCCGCCUGGGGAGUACGGUCGCAAGACUGAAACUCAAAUGAAUUGACGGGG